RNAcentral lists this ribosomal RNA (715 nucleotides) under Bacillus sp. (in: firmicutes). Its description in RNAcentral is "bacterial SSU rRNA". It matches the Rfam family "Bacterial small subunit ribosomal RNA", at positions 56 to 755 of the family's 1533-position model. Lineage: Bacteria; Bacillati; Bacillota; Bacilli; Caryophanales; Bacillaceae. The record is from RNAcentral.
UGCAGUCGAGCGAAUCUGAGGGAGCUUGCUCCCAAAGAUUAGCGGCGGACGGGUGAGUAACACGUGGGCAACCUGCCUGUAAGACUGGGAUAACUCCGGGAAACCGGGGCUAAUACCGGAUAAUUCAUUCCCUCUCAUGAGGGAAUGCUGAAAGACGGUUUCGGCUGUCACUUACAGAUGGGCCCGCGGCGCAUUAGCUAGUUGGUGAGGUAACGGCUCACCAAGGCCACGAUGCGUAGCCGACCUGAGAGGGUGAUCGGCCACACUGGGACUGAGACACGGCCCAGACUCCUACGGGAGGCAGCAGUAGGGAAUCUUCCGCAAUGGACGAAAGUCUGACGGAGCAACGCCGCGUGAGCGAUGAAGGCCUUCGGGUCGUAAAGCUCUGUUGUUAGGGAAGAACAAGUACCGGAGUAACUGCCGGUACCUUGACGGUACCUAACCAGAAAGCCACGGCUAACUACGUGCCAGCAGCCGCGGUAAUACGUAGGUGGCAAGCGUUGUCCGGAAUUAUUGGGCGUAAAGCGCGCGCAGGCGGUCCUUUAAGUCUGAUGUGAAAGCCCACGGCUCAACCGUGGAGGGUCAUUGGAAACUGGGGGACUUGAGUGCAGAAGAGGAGAGUGGAAUUCCACGUGUAGCGGUGAAAUGCGUAGAGAUGUGGAGGAACACCAGUGGCGAAGGCGACUCUCUGGUCUGUAACUGACGCUGAGGCGCG